ACGGCUGAUUGAAACAGAAAGUAAAGUUGUUCUUUUGUUCAGGAUCCAUUUUGAGACGACAGAGCAGAAAACACUAUAUGGAGAUUAUUGAAAAAUAAAGGGUCCUGUCUCUAAAAUGAGUCUCUUUGGGGAGAGAGAGGAGGGGGACCCUGCCUCUAAAAUGAGUCUCUCUGGGGAACAUGACACCAAAUCUAAGAGUCCAAUCAAGCAGGAGAGACCAGCCUCCCCUGUUCCCAGCUGUGUGUCCAUGAAGAGUGACUGGUCAAUGAGUCAAC
This is a non-coding RNA of Salmo salar (Atlantic salmon), 275 nucleotides long. Lineage: Eukaryota; Metazoa; Chordata; Actinopteri; Salmoniformes; Salmonidae. The record is from RefSeq and is a predicted model, not a curated record.